This 505-nucleotide ribosomal RNA is filed under the name Hemiurus levinseni. RNAcentral describes it as "partial large subunit ribosomal RNA". The record is from RNAcentral. Lineage: Eukaryota; Metazoa; Platyhelminthes; Trematoda; Azygiida; Hemiuridae.
CGCGCAAAGGUAAACGGGAAGAGUUGAACUGCAAGCCUGUAAGAUUCAGCUGGUACGGUUGGUUGGCUAGCUUUGUGGUCCAUAAAAAUAAUGGAUUGCCUCUCCUUGUGGGGGGUGACGGGUGUGUGCUUAAUAUGUGCAACUCGCUGCAUUGUUGGUGCUGCUGGGCCAGUGCACUUCUUUCAGGUCUUCAUCACGACCGGCGCUGCUGUCUGUCUGCUGUUGUCAAACCAGUCGAGCUCGGUCCUUGUGGCCUUGUUUUGCUGGGAUGGCAGGUAGCUUGUUGGCCUCUCGGGGCUUUCGAGUGUAAUAGCCGACUUCAGUGUGAGCUGUGCAGUGUGUCGGAGAUUGCGGUUGUGACGGGUGGCGUGAAUGCUGGCUUUAGUUGGCUUUGGGUUGUUCGCUUCGGUGGCUUCCUGGGGUUGGCUUCGGUUGGUUCUUUGCGUUGCUUUUAAUGGCCGAUAGUCUGUGAUGUAGUGGUAUGCUCUCUUCCCGACCCGUCUUG